Molecule: ribosomal RNA, 460 nt
Filed under: uncultured bacterium
Lineage: Bacteria
Description: partial 16S ribosomal RNA
Rfam family: Bacterial small subunit ribosomal RNA
Source: RNAcentral
CCUACGGGAGACAUCAGUGAGGAAUAUUGGUCAAUGGACGAGAGUCUGAACCAGCCAAGUAGCGUGAAGGAUGACUGCCCUAUGGGUUGUAAACUUCUUUUAUAUGGGAAUAAAAUGUUCCACGUGUGGGAUUUUGUAUGUACCAUAUGAAUAAGGAUCGGCUAACUCCGUGCCAGCAGCCGCGGUAAUACGGAGGAUCCGAGCGUUAUCCGGAUUUAUUGGGUUUAAAGGGAGCGUAGGUGGAUUGUUAAGUCAGUUGUGAAAGUUUGCGGCUCAACCGUAAAAUUGCAGUUGAAACUGGCAGUCUUGAGUACAGUAGAGGUGGGCGGAAUUCGUGGUGUAGCGGUGAAAUGCUUAGAUAUCACGAAGAACUCCGAUUGCGAAGGCAGUUCACUGGACUGCAACUGACACUGAGGCUCGAAAGUGUGGGUAUCAAACAGGAUUAGAUACCCCUGUAGUC